Molecule: ribosomal RNA, 253 nt
Filed under: uncultured prokaryote
Description: partial 16S ribosomal RNA
Rfam family: Bacterial small subunit ribosomal RNA
Source: RNAcentral
UACGUAGGGUGCGAGCGUUGUCCGGAAUUAUUGGGCGUAAAGAGCUCGUAGGCGGUUUGUCACGUCGGAUGUGAAAUCCCGGGGCUCAACUCCGGGUCUGCAUUCGAUACGGGCUGACUAGAGUUCGGUAGGGGAGACUGGAAUUCCUGGUGUAGCGGUGAAAUGUGCAGAUAUCAGGAGGAACACCGGUGGCGAAGGCGGGUCUCUGGGCCGAUACUGACGCUGAGGAGCGAAAGCGUGGGGAGCGAACAGG